Molecule: ribosomal RNA, 501 nt
Filed under: uncultured bacterium
Lineage: Bacteria
Description: partial 16S ribosomal RNA
Rfam family: Bacterial small subunit ribosomal RNA
Source: RNAcentral
AUUGAACGCUGGCGGCAUGCCUUACACAUGCAAGUCGAACGCGAAAGCGGGGGCAACCCUGCAAGUAGAGUGGCGAACGGGUGAGUAACACAUCGGAACGAACCCAGGAGUGGGGGACAACCUCGAGAAAUCGAGGCUAAUACCGCAUACGUCCUGAGGGAGAAAGCGGGGGAUCGCAAGACCUCGCGCUCAUGGAGCGGCCGAUGUCCGAGUAGCUAGUUGGCGGGGUAAGAGCCCACCAAGGCGACGAUCGGUAGCUGGUUUGAGAGAACGACCAGCCACACUGGGACUGAGACACGGCCCAGACUCCUACGGGAGGCAGCAGUGGGGAAUUUUGGACAACGGGGGCAACCCUGAUCCAGCCAUGCCGCGUGAGUGAAGAAGGCCUUCGGGUUGUAAAGCUCUUUCGGCCGGAACGAAAUCGGGUACGUGAAUAACGGAUCUGGAUGACGGUACUGGAAGAAGAAGCACCGGCUAACUACGUGCCAGCAGCCGCGGUAA